This 36-nucleotide ribosomal RNA is filed under the name Goodenia sp. MtCastleTower. RNAcentral describes it as "partial 18S small subunit ribosomal RNA". Lineage: Eukaryota; Viridiplantae; Streptophyta; Magnoliopsida; Asterales; Goodeniaceae. The record is from RNAcentral.
AAGGUUUCCGUAGGUGRACCUGCGGAAGGAUCAUUG